Molecule: unclassified non-coding RNA, 367 nt
Filed under: Bursera gracilipes
Lineage: Eukaryota; Viridiplantae; Streptophyta; Magnoliopsida; Sapindales; Burseraceae
Description: partial external transcribed spacer
Source: RNAcentral
UUCGGUAUCCUGUGUUGCUUACCUAUCGAAAGGAAUCCGACGGUUUCGUUGGUCCCUCUCCGCCCCAUGCCCUCGCGGGUUGUGGGGUGGACGUCAGGCAAGCCUCGUGUUCCCGGCACGCUUCGCCCAGUUGCGUGGCUACCUCGGCCCACGAGUGCACCGCCCGUGCUCUCGGAUGCGGAACGUUAUGCGUGGGCGCGGGGCCUGUUGGCUCCGUCCGCCCGAGCAACGCAUUUGUCCAUCGACACGAACGACCGUCGCGCCCGUCUCGAGCCGCGGCCGUUAGGCCAGUCGGGUCUCGUGCGGGCGUCAACGUCGCGAAGGAAUGCUACCUGGUUGAUCCUGCCAGUAGUCAUAUGCUUGUCUC